AGAAACAUCUUCAUUUCCCUUUCCUGAUGGAAUCCCAGUUCUGGUCUGCAAGAGAUGGUGGUGUUCUUCAAGCUCUUCAAGGAUUUUGGGGUUCCAACUUCGGGAGCUGAAUAUUGGUUAGUUUGAGGAAGCCAUGUGAUUGAAGAUUUGAGAAAUACCAAGGCCAAAGAACACUAUGGAGUUUGCAAACAGCAACUCGAAGUGUUGGUCUGAAACUCGGCUUUCUAUGAGAUGUGUUCUAUGGGACACCUAUUCUGACAUCAUCUCUAAAAGCAAAUAGAAAACCCAUUGCAAACUCUUUCCAAGUUGGAGAUUUCAGCGUGCCUUUUACAUUCAGAGAAGUUCCAGCAAUGUAUCAUUUCUGUUUCAACACAUGCUAGUCAUGCCUUGCUCUAAGCUACCUGAACCACUGUGCCUGGGCUCCUGCCUCCGACCUGCUUCCUGCUGUCCACAACCUGUGUGAACAGUCCUUUUCAUGGUGGUAUUACCUUAGUUAAGUUUCACAACUUAUACGUGACGCAACAACCAGCAUGAUCAACUUUCAACAAAUGAGGUAUCUGACAGAGUGACUUGUCUAUGGUUGCACACAACCAGUGAAUGGUUGAAACAGGAGAUCUGGACUCAGAGCUGAGGUUCUACAUCCCACCAGGUAUCUGAGGAAAUGUCUGUGUAGACAUCAUUCCCAAGUUGAAGAUGUCCUCUGUAGAUCUAUUUGAAAGUUACCAAGAUGUCUAACCAUGGAGAAUAUUACAUAAAUGUGAAUACAUUAAAUUGUGAAGAAUCUCAGUAACAACGUGGAUGUUGGAUAACAAGCAUCCUCUUUCCCAGUGCCAGCAAUGACAGCUAUCCAGAAACAUCUUCACAGGCACAGUAACACUAGGCUGACCAAUUAGCAUCUAAUCUUUCUGUGGACCUGGUUAAUUUCCCAUUCUUACAUUUUUCUUGUAGGUAUAUAAUCAUACUGAUACAUAAAUGGGGGAGUUAUCUGAGAUGCUCAAAACACAAAGUUGGAUAUAUCUGUGGCAUUAAUAAUUUUCACAUCAUAAAGAAGUAAGUUGCCAGAAAGUAUGGCUGCUUUUCCCCACUGCAUGACAUGGGUUUCCACGGAAAAUGGGAAAGGGAAGAGGAAAGGAAGUGCCUUCAGGAAACUCCACUACUGGGGCUCCUCCAUUGCUAAUAGCUUCAGUUAGCUUAAACCAGACAUUGCUUUGUUACAGACGGCCUAUUACUAUUUCAGUCAAAUGGUCUCUUUUAUAUGAUCCCAUAGAUAAUUAAGGAAAAAAAAGUGUGAGAUAUGCCUGUGUUUUAUAGCCCCAGCACACUGCACUGGAACACAAUGGAUCUUUUAAUUAUUUUAUUAUGGCAGGAUUUCUAAAGUUUUUAUGAUGUAAAUUAAAGUGAAAUAAAGCAAAAACUGCUUUUGUGUUUAACCUGACAUUUGAUUGUGUGAUAUGCCUUUUCUGUGCAUUUGGAUACCCUGAUGCAAGUUUUUCAUCUCUUGUUUUUCUAACUUUGAUGUGUUUUUUUGUGCCAGAAACUUUUGUGACUUUGAAUCUGUUUUUAAAGAAUACAGCAUAAAUUAAUUAAAAUACCCUUUUUAU
This is a long non-coding RNA of Ochotona princeps (American pika), 1601 nucleotides long. RefSeq lists it as uncharacterized. The record is from RefSeq and is a predicted model, not a curated record. NCBI's taxonomy places the organism in Eukaryota, Metazoa, Chordata, Mammalia, Lagomorpha, Ochotonidae. The transcript is spliced from 5 exons.